UGAAAUCCAAUUCAAGGUCAUCAUAGCCAAAGCAUUCAUCAAAACUCUCUCUUGUAAAGCUUUCUUGUGUACAAUAUAAAGCAUUAUUUGUUGAGUGUUCUCUUGUUCUUUACUAAGCUUCCUUUCAAGUUGUUUACUUGGUGAAAAACUUACUUAACAACUUUUUAGAGAGAUUGUAAGACCUCAACUUUUUAUGGAUAAAAUUUAAUUUUCUUUAAAUAUUAUUCUAAAUAGUAAAGUGUUGAUUUAAUAAAUGUUAUAGUUAUGGGUGAUAUUGCAAAUUAUAAAAAGUAAACAGUUGUCAGAAAAUAUUCGUUUUGUCGGGUAAGAUUCUUUUUGUCGGAAAAUAUUCGUACGAAGGCUCCGAAAUAACCAAUUAUCGGUGGACCCAAAACAGAAUAAAUGUCGAAUAUAAAAUCAACAAAAAUAACUUUUUAAAAUUGACGGCAAAACUUUUACCGUUAACUGUUAAAAUACCCGAUGAUAAAAAGUACAGUAAUACGCGUUGUUCCACAGAAGUACGCGGUAUUGCACAGUAACACACGGUAUUCCACAGUUUCUCUAAUUAUUAAUUUAAUAAGUGUUACAGUAGAAGUCACUCCGUAUUUCAUUCAAUAAUUG
This 621-nucleotide long non-coding RNA is filed under the name Panax ginseng (ginseng). RNAcentral's name for it is "long non-coding RNA (PGIN_LNC017570)". The record is from RNAcentral. Lineage: Eukaryota; Viridiplantae; Streptophyta; Magnoliopsida; Apiales; Araliaceae.